RNAcentral lists this transfer RNA (73 nucleotides) under Neotetracus sinensis (Shrew gymnure). RNAcentral describes it as "tRNA-Asn". Lineage: Eukaryota; Metazoa; Chordata; Mammalia; Eulipotyphla; Erinaceidae. The record is from RNAcentral.
UAGAUUGAAGCCAGUUGUUUUGGGUGCUUAGCUGUUAACUAAGUGAUUGAAGGAUAAAAGCCUUCCGAUCUAG